This is a long non-coding RNA of Cercocebus atys (sooty mangabey), 1097 nucleotides long. RefSeq lists it as uncharacterized. The record is from RefSeq and is a predicted model, not a curated record. NCBI's taxonomy places the organism in Eukaryota, Metazoa, Chordata, Mammalia, Primates, Cercopithecidae. The transcript is spliced from 5 exons.
UAUACCAUGAUUUAUUUAUCCGUUCUCCUCUUGAGUGGUAAUGAGUGUUUCAAUAUACAGAUAAGUAGGGAAUACUACACUCAAAGGCCCCAAGAAAUACACAGACAUUUGUGACUGUAUCCAUAAUCAGUACAAAUGCAAAGUGAGAGGGGAUGAUCUGCUAAUGCAUAUCAUGUUUUGCACUGUUGUUGGUGAUAUGAUUUACCAAAUAGUGACCAACUCCUGGUAAAAUUUAUCAUAAAAUAAAGUACAAUCUUUCUUCAAUUGACCCUGGAAAAUUCACUGGAUAUUAAAUGGUAUAAGAAUUUACUUGUUUUUAGUUGUAAAAUGGAGCAAGGUUCUAGGUUCACAUAACUUUUUCAACUACACAAAUAUCUUGUGGGAUAUGUAGGGCAUCUACUCACCCUGGUCCUCGACCAUGAAAUAUCAUUGAGUGCCCUCUUAUCAUAGCACCAGCUAUCCUCACAGUUUUCCAAAAUAUCCUUGGGUGUGGUGCCACCUCUGCAGAAAUCCUGAUUCUAACUCAGCUCUCUGAUUUUACAGAUGAAGGAAUCAUCCCUUUGGGGAGGGAAGAAUUACUCACUGGAAAACAUAGGGAUUCAAACAUAAAGCCUGGACCAGGACCACAGACUUCUGACUCCUUAGGCUCAAUCCCAGUUGUAUCCACCACAGCAAUUGAAGCCAAGGAUUAGAGUCAGAUGAGACUCAGGAUUUAGAAGGCAAAACAAACAAACACACAAAUAAAAAGGAGAUUAAUUUUGGACCUUCAUGAAUGGUGCCAAAGUGAAAAAAAAAAAGGAGCUGCCUGGCAAUGGUCGCAGGUGAAGGUAAUGGUGAAGAAGAUGCAGAUAUUGGCAAUUUGGAGCAUUCGAUGAACUAAUUACAACAUUAACCUAAAGACCAGUGCAACAGAAAAUGGGCUAAGACAUGGAGCAAGGGGCAGAAUGAUUCUUGAAGAUGCUGAGUAACUUCUGUUGGUGCCCUCCUCGACUCUGGCAGGUGUCCAAGCCCUGUUGUUCUCCCUGCACAGGGCGGCUGAGCAGUGCUCUGUAAAUUAUGCACCAGUCCCACAAUGUCUGGGGAGCCUGUGGACCCAU